CCUACGGGAGGCAGCAGUGGGGGAUAUUGCACAAUGGGGGAAACCCUGAUGCAGCGACGCCGCGUGGGCGAAGAAGUAUUUCGGUAUGUAAAGCCCUAUCAGCAGGGAAGAAGAAAUGACGGUACCUGAGUAAGAAGCACCGGCUAAAUACGUGCCAGCAGCCGCGGUAAUACGUAUGGUGCAAGCGUUAUCCGGAUUUACUGGGUGGAAAGGGAGCGCAGGCGGCACGGCAAGCCUGAUGUGAAAGCCCGCGGCCCAACCGCGGGACUGCAUUGGGAACUACCGGGCUGGAGUGCCGGAGAGGGAGGCGGAAUUCCUAGUGUAGCGGUGAAAUGCGUAGAUAUUAGGAGGAACACCAGUGGCGAAGGCGGCCUACUGGACGGUGACUGACGCUGAGGCUCGAAAGCGUGGGGAGCAAACAGGAUUAGAUACCCCAGUAGUC
This 442-nucleotide ribosomal RNA is filed under the name uncultured bacterium. RNAcentral describes it as "partial 16S ribosomal RNA". It matches the Rfam family "Bacterial small subunit ribosomal RNA", at positions 338 to 795 of the family's 1533-position model. The record is from RNAcentral.